This is a long non-coding RNA of Bradysia coprophila, 1130 nucleotides long. NCBI's taxonomy places the organism in Eukaryota, Metazoa, Arthropoda, Insecta, Diptera, Sciaridae. The record is from RefSeq and is a predicted model, not a curated record.
CUUCGAACGCAAUAGUCGUUUUUGGAACUUGACACUUGACAGUCUACCAGCACUGAAAGUUCAUUUUGAAAUAAAUUUUGUUACCGGCGACAACGUUCAUUAUAAUAAAAAACAAAAAUUAAAAAUAUUUUUGCAAAACUUAGCGAUUAGUAAUCUUAGGAAGUUAAGUGGCAACGAGAAAGAUAUUGUGAGUGUUUUUUUAAUAAUAUCAGCGAAAUUCUUCAAUUAAAAUAAAAACGUUUAUCGACUACUUUUAAGAUUUUAACUAUCGUUAACCAGUUGUAUGCCAGUCCAUUUUGUCAGUCACCUCUUAGUUCAGUCCAGUUCAGUCGAUAAGAGUUUUUGUAAGAGUUCAGCGUCCACUUCAUCCCAGUUCCAGUGUGCCAGUUUUAUUUGUACAGGUGUUUCUGUGUUGACCGUCCAUCAAAGAUUUGCUGUUUCUGUUCCGUUUACAAUUGUUCCUUGUGUGUGUUUGUCAGCGUUAAAGGUUAGUAUUCGAGAUAGUGCGAUAACGGUAGUGUAUUCUAGACUCCAGACAUAACUAGAUAUAGUUUGUUAAUUGUAAUCUUCGUAAUUCCACAAUAUUCAAAUAAAAGAUUUGUUAAUUAUUAUGACAGAGGUAGCACAGUGUGUGUUGUACAAGAUUUUAAAGCUGCCCUCCGCCAAAAACGAAAAUUGCAAGUGUUACGGGCCUAAUAUCUUCAUAACAUGAUCAAAACAUUCGAUAGGUUUUAUUUGCAUUACAGCUUCCUACCUCGAAUUGGGAUAUUUUUUAGUAAAUUCCACUCCCUUACAAUCGUCGCUGGCUUGGUGAAAAAUCAGGCCAGGGCUCACCGACUUCGGUGAACAUUUCUAGUAAUUUCUAUGCACUAAAUGACUGUCCCUUGAACAGAACUCGUUAUUGUCUCGUAUUCCACGGUCCUGUGAAUCACAAUACAAGUAUGAGACCUACUUUCAAUCCUUAUUUCAAAUGCUGUAUUGCUUUGGUAUAUUCGAAUUCGAAAAUCAUCUUGAGAUAAAUUUUAAGCAUGGAAACUUGCGAAGUAAGAUAAUAAAGUAAAAACCGGAAGAAAGAAAAUUUGUGCUAUAAGCCCAAACGAUAUUAACGAGCCGGGCUGAUUGUUAAAACA